RNAcentral lists this transfer RNA (67 nucleotides) under Marmota monax (woodchuck). RNAcentral describes it as "tRNA.Ala". The record is from RNAcentral. Lineage: Eukaryota; Metazoa; Chordata; Mammalia; Rodentia; Sciuridae.
GGUUAUGGCUCAGGAGUAGAGCGCUCGCCUCGCACAUGCAAGGCCCUGGGUUCGAUCCUCAGCACCA